CCUACGGGAGGCAGCAGUGAGGAAUAUUGGUCAAUGGACGAGAGUCUGAACCAGCCAAGUAGCGUGAAGGAUGACUGCUCUAUGGGUUGUAAACUUCUUUUAUAUGGGAAUAAAAUGUUCCACGUGUGGGAUUUUGUAUGUACCAUAUGAAUAAGGAUCGGCUAACUCCGUGCCAGCAGCCGCGGUAAUACGGAGGAUCCGAGUGUUAUCCGGAUUUAAUGGGUUUAAAGGGGGCGUAGGUGGAUUGUUAAGUCAGUCGUGAAAGUUUGCGGCUCAACCGUAAAAUUGCAGUUGAAACUGGCAGUCUUGAGUGCAGUAGAGGUAAGCGGAAUUCGUGGUGUAGCGGUGAAAUGCUUAGAUAUCACGAAGAACUCCGAUGGCGAAGGCAGCUCACUGGACUGCAACUGACACUGAGGCUCGAAAGUGUGGGUAUCAAACAGGAUUAGAUACCCGAGUAGUC
Molecule: ribosomal RNA, 460 nt
Filed under: uncultured bacterium
Lineage: Bacteria
Description: partial 16S ribosomal RNA
Rfam family: Bacterial small subunit ribosomal RNA
Source: RNAcentral